UUUGAGAUUUGGAAGCAUCUCCGUUACUCACUGAUUAUCCGUAGGUCUUAUCAUUAUUUGUCCAACCUUUCCCUCAGCUGAUAAUGCUUCUGCACAUAUUCCUAAAUAAAGCCAUCUUUUUAGUUGGAGCAGAGUAUCUGUUGGUGAGUGUUCAACUGGAACUUUAUUAACUGUACAUUAUUGCUCUUCUCUGCAUAUAUCAUAGGCUUUGUUCCAAAAUUUUAAAUUCAAUAUACUAAAUAAUGUGAUAUCUGCCAUGCCACUUGUAUAUUCUUGAAAUAUCUAAUUUUUUUCAAUUGCUAAUGGGUCUUGAAAAGUGUUUUUCUGUUGUUGCUAAUUUUAAUUAACUUAAUCAGCAUACUAAAAUCAGCUCAUUAACGAAACCUUAUAUUUUUUCGCAGCAUCCUCUUGAAAAUGUGAAGAUGCUGGGAUUGGGGCCCAGUGAAGUCCUGGUCAAGCUUUAAAUGGCAUCAGCAAAGGAGCAAUUUUGGAGAAAGGACAGCUAAUACGUUGUAUUAAUGCUAAUGAUCAGACUAAAUUCCACCUUCAUCAGAGGUUGGAGAGGCUUUACUCAUUGGCUUGAAAACUAGAGAGAGAUCUCCAAUCUUGACCAUUGUGACUGCAAG
This 626-nucleotide long non-coding RNA is filed under the name Eucalyptus grandis. RNAcentral's name for it is "long non-coding RNA (EGRA_LNC006478)". The record is from RNAcentral. Lineage: Eukaryota; Viridiplantae; Streptophyta; Magnoliopsida; Myrtales; Myrtaceae.